This is a non-coding RNA of Callithrix jacchus (white-tufted-ear marmoset), 25153 nucleotides long. The record is from RefSeq and is a predicted model, not a curated record. NCBI's taxonomy places the organism in Eukaryota, Metazoa, Chordata, Mammalia, Primates, Cebidae.
UGUACAUGCUUUGAACUUCACGGCUGGUGGUUGUAAUGGGAUGGAGGGUUUAAACUCAGGCUUCAGUGAUGCUGAAGCCCGCGUCCCUUCCACUCUGUUAUUCUUCUUUUCCACUGAGCGGGAACUGGGUGAAGUGGAAUUCGGCUUGUUUCUUAGGAGGAGGGCGGCGGAAAGCCUUUCUCUCUUUUCCCCUUAGGCCACAGGGGCCAGCUGGCGGAGGUGGUUCACUGACUCGGAGUGAACGGAAAACUGGGUCAUGCGCUGCCAGGAGCCUGCAUUCCUGUUUAACUGGCUGGCGAGUGCUUUCUUUGUGUUUGUUUACUUAUGGCGAGUUCUGACAAAUAAAAUGGAUUCUUUUCUUGGCCUCGUCACUUGGGAAGAGCAAGCCGUGGUGUUUUAGUGGCAGGAGUGCAGGACUGAAGAUGCCUGGGAUUUGGAAAAUCUCCGAGUACGUGGUGCAGAAGGGACCCUUGACUUUAGCGGCAAGAGCAUAUGGGUGGUGGCUUCCCAGUCACGCCCACGGAAUCGGACGUGGCCUUGUCACUGUGCUGUGUCCAUGCACCCUCCCGCUGCACCUCCAAACCUUCAUUUCUCCAGCUGAUCCCCUGGGAGGGUCCUGGCCGGUCAACAAGCAUGGAUUUAUCAAGCUCCCUCUGGAUAAAAGACUGAGGCUGGGCGCGGUGGCUCAUGCCUGUAAUCCCAGCACUUCAGGAGGCCGAGGCGGGCAGAUCACGAGGUCAAGAGAUCGAGAUCAGCCUGGCCAACAUGGUGAAACCCCGUCUCUACUAAAAAUACAAAAAAUUAGCUGGGCGUGGUGGCGUGUGUCUGUAAUCCCAGCUACUCGGGAGGUUGAGGCAGGAGAAUUGCUUGAACCCGGGAGGUGGAGGUUGCAGUGAGCCGAGAUUGCACCACUGCACUCCAGGCUGGCAACAGAGUGAGAUUCUGUCUCAAAAAAAAAAAAAAAAGUAGACUGGGCGUGGUGGCCCAUGCCUGUAAUUUUACCACUUUGGGAGACCAAGAUAGGUGCAUCAUUUGAGGCCAGGAGUUUGAGACCAGCUUAGCCAAUGUGGCGAAACCCCGUUUCUACUAAAAAUACAAAAAUUGGCUGGACAUGGUGGCGCAUGUUUGUAGCUGCAGCUACUAUGGCGGUUGAGUCACGAGAAUCGCUCGAACCUGGGAGACAGGCUGCAGUGAACCAAGAUCGCGCCACUGCACUCCAGCCUGGGCGACAGAGUGAGACUGUCUCAAAAAUAAAAUAAAAUGGCCGGGAGCCGUGGCUUACGUCUGUAAUCCCAGCACUUUGGGAGGCCGAGGCAGGCAGAUCACCUGAGGUCUGGAGUUCGAGACCAGCCUGGCCAAUAUGGUGAAACCCUGUCUCUACUAAAAAUAAAAAAAUUAGCCAGGCAUGGUGGCACACGCCUGUAAUUCCAGCCACUCGGGAGGCUGAGAUAGUAGAAUCCCUUCAACCUGGGAGGCGGAGGUUGCAGUGAGCCAAGAUCGCACCAUUGCACUCCACCCUGGGCCACAAGAGUGGUCUCAAAAAAAUAAAAAUACCUGGCUAGGCACCGUGGCCUCUGCCUGUCAUCCCAGUGCUUUGGGAGGUAGAGGCAGGCAGAUCACUUGAGCCCAGGAGUUUGAGACCAGCCUGGGCAACAUAGUGAGACCCCACCCAUGCCUACGGAAAAUUAGACACUAGCGUGAUGGUGUGUGUUUGUAAUCCUGGCUACUCAUGAGGCCGAGGUUGGGGGAUCGCUUGAGUGUAGGAUUUCAAGUCCAGCCUGGGCCACGUAGCAAGACCCUGUCUCUUAAAAAAACAAAACAACCCAGACCUGGAAGUCUUAAGCCUUGUUAGUCUCCAUCCAAACCUUGGCUGAUCGUUACAGGACACGUCAACCUAAGCAAGACCCUUUCCUGGGCCCCUCUCUCUCACACCGUUUCAUCCCACCCCAGAGGCCUGACUCAGCACUGCUUGGUCUUAGAUGUCCUGCUUCUUGCUACAGAUGCCCCAGGCCAGAUUCUUCCUUCCUUUCACACAUACUUUAUUCUUCCAUGUCCUCAGCUGAGUGUUUGGGUGAAAACCCAGACUUUGUUUGGCUCCCUAGGUUCUGGAUUGGUGAUUGGAGUAAGGAUGCUUCAGAGCCAUUCACGUUCUAGAUACAUGUUUUAUCAGGACGUCCAGAGCUGUUGGGAUCAGUCUUCAGCUCUGGUUGUGUGUUAAUUCCUGAGGGGCAGUCCCCCCGGUUCUGGUAACUGAACAUGUGGGUUCCCCAUUCAGCAGGCUCCACUUCCCUGCCAGGUGGCUAGAGAAGGAAACGAGGGCCCAGAAGAUGUUCUAGAGAGUCAAUGGAUGGGGACCCAGCCAGCCUGUGCCCAGUCCACCUGACAUCUCUGUGUCCAGCGUGUUGCCCUUCCCCUGGACAGUGUCAGACACGCUUCUGUCACACACUUUUGUGAGCCCUGGUUUUCUCUACUUCUUGCUGACCAUGCCCUACAGUCAUCGUCCGUAGUUUCCCAAAUCUCUGUUGUUUUUUUGCACUAUUAUUAUUAUUUUGAUAUGGAGUCUUGAUCUGUCACCAGGCUGGAGUGCAGUGGUGCAGUCAUACCUUACUGUCACCUCGAACCUCUGGGUUCAAGGGAUCCUCCCACCUCAGCCUCCCAAGUAGCUAGGACUCCAGGUGCACGGCACACCACACAGAUAAGUUUUAUUUUUGUCUUUUAGUAGAGGCGAGGCUGCACUAUGUUGCUCAGGCUGGUCUCAAACUCCCGACCUCAGGUGAUCACUGACCUCGGCCUCCCAAAGUGGUGGGAUUACAGGUGUGAGCCGCCGUGCCUGGCCCUGUGUGUCUGUCUUUAGAUCUUAUGACUUUGCUGCCCUGCGUCUGUACAAUUUGGGAUCAUUAGCCCUGAAAUCUGUGUUCUGUGAGCCUUCCUCGUUUCUGUCCUCUUGGCACCAGCUUGGCUUCAUGGAGAGGGGACCAGAGGGUCUCCUCAGGGUCUCCUGUCUUGGGAGGAGCCUUGGUUUCUUAGCCAGGGGUGUUUAUGGCCAGCUUCUUUCUUUCCUUAGCCUAAGGUCACAAAGGUGGUCCAGGAGGGGUUAGAGCUGUGGAUGUUGUGGAAAUCUGAGGCCUGUGCUGGUUCAGCUCCAAGAACAAGGGCUGGGCUUUUUCAGGGGAAGAGAAGGGAGGCCUCUGUGAACAGGAUGUUUCUGUGUCUCGGAAACUCAGAUUCAGUAAGAGAGAGUCAGCAUUGUCUUCCUCCAGCCUUUCCCUCCUGGCCUAGCUACCACCAUUGCUGCCUGAGCUAGUGUGGAGGGUGAAGGGAUGGGCAGGAGAGAUGGGAAACAGGUCCCUGGUGUGUGAGUGUUUUUUUCUUUUCAUUUAAAACUAGGAAGUUGGCUAGGUGUAGCGGUUCAUGCCUGUAAUCCCAGCACUUUGGGAGGCUGAGGUGGGAGGAUCUCUUGAGUCCAGAAGUUCAAGACCAGCCUGGGAACAUAGAGAGACUACCCCCCAUCUCUAUAAAAAAUAAAUUGAAAAAAAAAAUAGCUGGGUGUGGUGGCAUGUGCCCAUAGUCCCAGCUACUCAGGAGGCUGAAGUGGGAGGAUCACUUGAAGCCAGGAAUUCGAAACCAGCCUGGGCAACAGAACAAGACCUUCACACACGCACGCAUGCACACACAUACGUGGAGGCACCAGGCCGAGGGACAGCUAGGAGAGAGACUUCUGAGAAUAAGUAAUGCUUGAUCCAAGUGGUAAGGGAAUUUCAGCAGGUGGACAGGUGCAAAUACAGAGGUGGGAAGGGAACAGAAUUGGGAACAUGGUGCCAGGGGUAGUGGUAACAGCCAGAACAUGGAGGGUUCAACUGCCUUUGCUUGCCUUGCUGAGGAGUUUGGCCUUUAUCCUCAGGGUGAGCCAGGGCAGCAGAAGGAUGUGAAACAAAGGCUUGUUGUUUUUGGGUAAGAAUAGAUUGGAGGGGAGCCAGACUGGAAAUGGACAGGAGGCAGUUAUAGUGACUCCAGGUAUACUGACCCUGGGUCCAAACUCCAGAUAUACUGACCUUGGGUCCACACUCCAGUUAUAGUGACCCUGGAUCCAAACUACAGUUAUACUGACCCUGGAUCCAAACUGCAGUUAUAGUGACCCUGAAUCCAAACCACAUGUGAGGCCAGGCGCACAGUGGCUCAUGACCAUAAUCCCAGCACUUUGGGAGGCCAAGGUGGGCAGAUCUCCUGAGAUCAGGAGUUCAAGACCAGCCUGGCCAACAUGGCAAAACGCUGUCUCUACUAAACAUACAAAAAAUAGCCAGGUGUGGUGGCAGGCUCCUAUAAUCAUAGCUACUUGGGAAGCUGAGGCAGGAGAAUCGCUUGAACCCAGGAGGCGGAGGUUACAGUGAGCUGAGAUUGCACCAUUGCACUCCAGCCUGGGUGACAGAACGAGACUUCGUCUCAAACAAAACAACACAAAACACAAAAGAAACCCUUCCAAUUGAGGUAGAGUGGAGACCUCAUUCAGGAGCUGUCUGGAAAGUGAGCAGAAGCGAGGUGGAGAGAAGCAUGUGGAAGGUUUCUGCUUUGGGACCCUGGGUAGAGGGCAGUUGGGUCCCUUCAUGGAAAUGAGGAGCAAUAGCAGAGAAAGGUCGGGGGAGGCCGCCAUGUGCGGAAGGUGGCUGUGGUCAGGAGGUGGCCCCUGAGCUCACUCUGGAACUCUCAGUUACCUGGCUCUCGAUGAGAUGAGGACAAACUAUUUUCUUCUCCCUGGAGUUUUUUUUUGGGGGGGGAUUUAAUUUAAUGCAGUAAAAUUCAGGGUUCUUAAGUACCCAGCUCGCUGUGUUUGAACAACUGUUACACCUACGUAAACAACCAUCCAAACAAGAUGCAGAACUUUUCCAUCUCUGUGCAGAGUCCCCCGCUGCGUCUGAUAUUAGUAUAUCAGCUUUCGAUACCCUGUCCGGUGACGCCCCUCCCACCCACCACUCAGUCCCCGUUCAAGAACCAUGGAAAUGGAAUCAUGCAGUCCGUGUCCUUUUGUGUCUGGCAUAAUCGGAGGUUCCUCCUUGUUUUUGGUUGUAUCACUGUGUUCCUUCUUAUUGCUGAGACAUAUUCCCUUGGAUGGACGUGUUGUCACAAUGUAUCCAUUCUUCCAGUGAUGUGUGUGUAAGCUGUUUUCAGUUUGGGGUGGGCAAGGCUGUUAUAAACAAACAUUUUUAUGGACUAAAAACAAUUUUAUCUUGAGUAAAUACUGAUAAGUCGGAAGACUGAGGGCAGAUUACUGAGGAGAUGAUGGGGUAAAGGAACAUUUAUCUUCGUAAGACAGACCAAACAGGUCUUCAAAGCAGUUGUGCUGACCAGGCAUGGUGGCUCACACCUGUAAUCCCAGCACUUUGGGAGGCCAAGGCAGGCAGAUUGCUUGAGCCCAGGUGUUUGAGAGCAGCCUGAGCAACAUGGCAAAACCCCAUCUCUACAAAAGCUUUUAAAAAUUAGCUGGAUGUGGUGACACACGCCUGUAAUUCCCAGCUACUUUGAGGUAGGAGGAUGACCUGAGCCUGGGAAUGUGGAGGCCUCAGUGAACCAAAGUGGCACCUACUCCAGCCUGGGCAACAGUGAGAUCCUGUCUCAACAGCAACCAGGGAGUGUGGCUACCAUUUACCUCCCACCUGCGGUGCGUGAGAGUCCUGUUUCCCCCCAGUGUGAAAUAGUUUUAAUUUGCAUUUCCUUGAUGAUUAAAGAUGUUGAACACCUUUGCAUAUUCUUCCUGGUUGCCCAAGUAUCUACUUUCUGGAAGUGUCUGUCCUUAUCUGUUGCCUAUUUUUUACUGAGUUUUUCAUAUUUUUAGUGUUGACUUAUAAGAGUUCUUUUUUUUUUUUUUUUUGAGACAGUCUCACUCUGUCACCAUUGGAGUGAAAUGGCUCAGUCUCAUCUCACUGCAACCUCUGCCUCCUGGGUUCAAGCAAGUCUCCUGUCUCAGCCUCCUAAGUAGCUGGGAUUACAGGCGUGUGCCACCAUGCCCAGCUUAUUUUUGUAUUUUUAGUGGAGACAGGGUUUCACCACAUUGGCCAGGAUGGUCUUGAUCUCUUGACCUUGUGAUCCGCCUGCCUCAGCCUCCCAAAGUGCUGGGAUUACAGGCAUGAGCCACUGUGCCCGGCUGAGAGUUAUUUAUAUAGUCUGGGUAUGAAUUCUUUGUUAAAGAUAUAUUAGUAUAUCAGCUUUCGAUACUCUACUAUCUAUCUGUAUGUAUAUAUAUUAUACAUUAUUUUUUGUUUUAAUAUCACUUGUUUCUGACUAUCCUGAGGCACUAAGCACUGGGGGGAUUUUCAUGUCAGGAAAUUGUGAGAUGGAAGGUGCUUUGGUUAUGACAAGGAUUUCUUUCUGUUGUUGAAGGAUGGCAUGGGAGGCGUGUUGACCGUUGGUCUAGGCUGGGACUGGAGCUGAGCAGAGCUCAGGUGGGCGUGUGAGGCUCUGAUUCAGGAGACAGGUUGAUUUGAGAUGCGGUAGAGCUCUUCCCCAGCUGUAGAAAAGCCGGUUUUAGAGCCUUUUCAAAGGACUGUUUCAUUGCCUGAGUUGGAGGAAACAGUGAUAAAUUGGCGACCUCGGAUUUGGAAGGAGUCUCACUGCCCAUCACCCGGCCGCUGUGGGUCUUAGCCGUAACACUUCCUCCACACCUGCGGGCAUUCAGCUGCCUCCUCAGUUUAUUUCAAAGCAAAUCCCAAAUCUGUUUCCAUCGUCAGUGUCUUGGUCUGUAUUUCUAGAAGAUAAGGACUCUUCAAAAACACACUACCCAAAAUGCCACCAUCACACCUUAAAAAUGAAUACUAAUUCCUUCAUAACACUUUGCUUUUUACAGUUUAUUUCUUUGCAAGACCUUGGUCUGAGUUUCUCUCACCCCUGCCUGAAGACACGCUCGCUACUUCUCUGUCCUUACUGGCUCUUUGAACUCGCCUGCAGGUUCUUUGUUCUUGGAGGUACACAGCGACGUUCUGUCAGUCCUCCUGGCUGCUUCCCUGUCCCUUUUAUUUUGAGACAGAGUUUCCCCCUCAUUGCUCAGGCUGGAGUACAAUGGUGUGAUCUUGGCUCACUACAACCUCCACCUUCCAAGUUCAAGCAGUUAUACUGCCUCAGCCUCCCAAGUAGCUGGGAUUACAGUCAUGCACUACCACACCCAGCCAAUUUUGUAUUUUUAGCAGAGACAGGGUUUUACCAUAUUGGUCAGGCUGGUCUUGAACUCCCUACCUGAGGUGAUCCACCUGCCUCAGCCUCCCACAGUGCUGGGAUUAUAGGCGUGAGCCACCACGCCCAGCCAAUUUUGUAUUUAGUAGAGACGGGUUUCUCUCUCCAUGUUGGUCAGACUGGUCUAGAACUCCCAACCUUAGGUGAUCCACCCGCCUUAGCCUCCCACAGUGCUAGAAGUACAGGCGUGAGCCUCCGCGCCCAGCCCUGUUCCCUUUUUUCUCUUGAAAAAUAUUGUGUGACGUAUACCAUAGAAAAGUGCACCAAACAGACAGGUCCAGGUGAGUGUGUUAUUGUCAGCAGACUCUGUGCAGUAGCAUCUGAGGAAGAAAUGAACUGGGACAGGCCUCGGAUCCACUGCGUGCACUUCCUGGGCACAGCGCCUUCCUCUUCAUUGGAGGAACCGUCGCCCCAACUUCCGUGGUUAUCCUUCCUCGCUUCCCUUGAUACUUUUCAGUUGACGUGUGCUUCUCUGAACACUCCAGUUGUGCAUGUUUGGAGCGUUACAUAAAUAGAAUUAUUUGUUUCUUCUUCUUUUUUUUUUGAUACAGGGUCUCACUCUGUCGCCUGGGCUGGGGUGCAGUGGCACAAUCACAGCUCACUGUUGCCUUGACCUCCAGGGCUCAGUCCCUCACAAGUAACUGGUACUACAGACAUGCACCACCACACCCGCCUAGUUUUUUGUGUGUGUAUUUUUUGUAGAGAUGGGGUUUUGCUCUGUUACCCAGGCUGGUCUUGAACUCCUGGACUCAAGCAGUCCGCAUGUCUUGGCCUCUCAAAGUGCGGGGAUGACAGGCUGAGCCACUGUUCAUUUUAACGAAGUCCAGUUUGACUUUUCAUUUCAGGAGGUACUUGUGUGUCAUGAGAAGCACCCUCCCAGCUUCCCUGAGGCCUUCUUUCCCCCUGAGUUUUCUCUCUCACACUUUGUUGUCUUGUAGAAGCAUCGUGGUUCUGCCAUUCAUCUUUUGGGCACCCUUUUGCCUUUCAGGCCAAUUCUUAGUCUUUUUCCAGGAAGGCAUUCCACACCCAUCAGAUCAGCCGCCCUUCAGACCCCUUGGCUCCUGCCUGCAGUAGGGAAAGCUUUCUGCUUGUUUAGAGUUUGCACUCCUCGGGCCAGGCCUCAGCAUCCUGCCAUGGGUGGAUUGAGAGGGACAAAGACGUUGGCAGAGAUUUGAGCCCCCGGAGCUGGUCAGCCCCUUGGAGCCCCAGCCCAGGCUGUGGGAUUCUCAGAGGAGGCCUUCAUUUCUGUCCGUGCUAUUAGCAGACCAACUGCUCUACUUGGUUUCAGGUUGGAAGUAUCUGUCCUUCAGAGUUAACUUACUCUUUUGGCUAAAAGCAGGCUCUGCACCUACAUGUGUGUAAGGACUUUGACUGACCGGUCUCCAGCCCUGCCUGCUGCUUUUUCCUCUGGGCAGAUGUCCUCGGGUGUGUCGGUCUGCUCAGGGGCACUUGGAAAACUCUGGGUUUUCUGUGGCCUAUUUUGAGUCUGAUUAUUUGGCUUUAAUCAGAAAAAUAAACUUAUUUAUUUUUAAAUAUUUUUAUUUAAAUAAACCCGGCUAGGUUCAAACAGGCUUUUUUAACUGGACCACAUGUGAAUGGCGGGGAAUGGUGGCCUGUUGGGGAAAUGGGUCAUUUCCAAGGGUCUCUCUCCAGGAAAAGUGUGACUUGGUAGUUUACUGAGAAAGGCUCAAGCAGGCCACAAGAAGUACUUAAAACAUUUUCUCCUUUUAUGUGGCUCUAAUCACAGUCUUAUCAUAAGCCCCAGCCCUGGUAGUUAAUCCAAGUUAUUUAAUUAAAUCCUUUUAUUUUAUAGAUGAGGAAAUGGGGAGACACCUCCCUCAGUUCUCCACCCCUGGCGCCCUGGUGUGAUUUGCUGAAGGUUGGGUGUUUGGGAGCUGUUUUCAGAGAGCAGGAUUGGGAGUGAUGCCCUGACUGAGGAAAAAGGCCUUUUUUUCUUUCACUAAAACAAUCAUUUAAAAAAAAUUGCUGUGAUCUCACAAAUUUUAAAUUCCUUUAAUGAAACCUCACCCUUGAACUUGAUACAUUAGAAGCUUUGCUUGGAAUGAAGUGGAAUUUCCAUUCUUAACCGCUGCGAGGUUCUGCUUUCAGAAGGAGUUGGGAUCUGUGUCAUUUUCUUAGUCACUUUCUUCAUGGACCCGCAGUGUCUUCACCACAGCGGGCAUUGUGGUUAUAUUCCAUACCUGUGAGAGAAGUUUCUAGAGGCCUUUGGCUUGAAACGCGCAUGUACUCAGCCAUGUUCUUUCCUUCUGAGCCUUCUUUUGUUGCUGUGACCUGCUGGAGGCUAGAAAGAGACACCUGCAGAAAAUUUCACCCCACCAACUACCCCCGACCAGCUUCCCCCCACCCCACUCCUCCUCCACUUGCUCCUCCCACACUGGUUCCCCCCUACCAGCUCCCCUCCUGCCUGGCGACUGGCGACUGCCUCCCCUACCCACCACCUCCCCCACACUGGAUCCCCUCCCCACCACCUCCCCCUCACUGGCUCCCCUCCCCACCGGCUCCCCACACUGGCUCCCCUCCCCACCACCGUCUGUGCCCCCACCGGCUCCCCUCCCUACCACCUUACCUUACCACCACCUCUCCUCCCUACCACCUUCCCUCCUCACCACCUCUCUUCCCUACCACCUUCCCUCCCCACCACUCUCCUCCCUACCACCUUCCCUCCUCACCACCUCUCCUCCCUACCACCUUCCCUCCCCACCACCCUCCUCCCUACCACCUUCCCUCCUCACCACCUUUCCUCCCUACCACCUUCCCUCCCCACCACCUCUCCUCCCUACCACCUUCCCUCCCCACCACUCUCCUCCCUACCACCUUCCCUCCUCACCACCUCUCCUCCCUACCACCUUCCCUCCCCACCACCUCUCCUCCCCACCCCACCCCCACUGGCUCCCCUCCCUACCACCUUCCCCCCUACCAUCUCCCCUCCUCACCAGCUCCGCCCCAACUGGCUCCCCACCCCACCGGCUCCCCACCAACCUCCCCCAGCUGGAGUGUAGUUGUGCAAUCUCAGCUCACUGCAGCCUCCACCUCCUGGGCUCGAGCAAUUCUCCUGCCUCAGCCUCGCAAGUAGCUGGGAUUACAGGCACCUGCCACCACACCUGGCUAAUUUUGUAAUUUUAGUAGAGAUGGGGUUUCACCAUGUUGUCCAGUCUGGUCUCAAACUCCCGACCUCAGGUGAUCCACCCUCCUUGGCCUCCCAAAGUGCUGGGAUUACAGGCGUGAGCCACUGCACCUGGGCUGUCUACCCAUUCUUUCACUAAUUUGUUCUUUAAACACAUACUAGAGCUUCUAACUGGUUCUACUUUUUUUUUUUUUUUUUGAGGCGACAUCUAACUCUGUUGCCCAGGCUGGAGUGUAGCGGCACCAUCUGGGCUCACUGCAACCUCCACCUCCCCGGUUCAAGCAAUUCUGCUGCCACAGCCUUCCGAGGAGCUGGGAUUACAGGUGCCCACCGCCACACCCGGCUAAUUCGUUGUAUCUUUAGUAGAGAUGGGGUUUCAUCCUAGUGGCCAGGCUGGUCUUGAUCUCCUGACCUGGUGAUCCAACCACCUCGGCCUCCCAGAGUGCUGGGAUUACAGGAGUGAGCCACCGCACCCGGCCUGGCCUCAUUUCUCAUUUCUAGUAGUUUGUGGCCAGGACGUCAUGAAUUGGAGCCCUAUUUGUUAGUCCCGGGGGCUCCAGCCUCCUCCACAGCUGCCGAACCCUCCCUAGCAGCCUCCAAGGCCUGUUUUACAGUCUGGAGAAACUAGUCCUGGCUCUGCCUGCCUCUGUCCUGCUCCUGUCCCGCUCCUGUCUUGCUUCUGUCCCACUCCUGCUGAGACCAGGUUCAUUCUUCACAAAGCAGCUCGGAUGCUACUCUCUUUCCUCUUCUGUUGCUCUGACCCACAGCACGGUUAGAUGGUAAAAACGACUAGUACUUUAUAAAGCACUGAGUGCAUGCCCCAGACAUCGUUCUACACAUCUUGACUGAUUUCCUCUAUGUACCAGGAUUACUGUGCCUGUAUUUCCUGCAAACUAAUAGUUUAUGUUUGUGUCUGUCUUCUGUGCGGGACUGGGGCUUCCUUAAAGGAAAGGCUCGUGUAUCAACUGUCUUUCUGUUCCCAGCAUUUAGCACAGCAUUUCACAUGCUGGUUAAUGCAGCUGUGGGAAAAACAGUCGCUGUUCACAUAGUUCUUUAGUACAUUUGUUUAGUAUAUUAAGAAUUAAUGUUUUUUUGUUUGUUUUUGAGAUGGAGUUUCGCUCUGUCACCCAGGCUGUAGUGCAAUGGCGGGAUCUCAGCUCACUGCAGCCUCCUCCCAGGUUCAAGCAAUUCUCCUGCCUCAGCCUCCCGAGUAUCUGGGAUUACAGGAGCCUGCCAGUGUGCCUGGCUAUUUUUUCGUAUUUUUAGUAGAGACAGGGUUUCACCAUGUUGACCAGGCUGGUCUCAAACUCCUUACCUCAAGUGAUCCGCCUGCCUCAGCCUCCCAAAGUGGUGGGAUCACAGGUGUGAGUCACCCUGCCUGGCCAAAAAUGACUUUUGAUUACAUGUGCUGGAAGUUGGUGCCACAAAGGGGACCAGAAGGGGUUUUCCAUAUAAAUGAGGAAUUAAGAUCAUAGCAUGGUACGAAAGUGAUUAUCAGCGAGAAAUAGUCAGUCAGUGCUAUUGGCAUUCCCAGGCCAGUGAGAUUGAUGCCUGGGAUUAAGGGAGAAUUUUGGGGUACAUGACUCCUACUUCAUGCUGUCAAGGUGCUUUCAUCAUUGAUGGGGAGACUUACAUGAAACACGCUUAGGGACACGGACUCCUAGUGUGAGCUAAAUGACCAAAAUAGGGAGGUGUGAGCAGGAACCGAAUUAGGGGUCCAUUCAUUGUGACCUGUGCUGACUUCCAUCAGCAUCAUUUUUCUUAAGUCCCUAUGUCACCCACCUGAAACUUCAAUAGCUGUUUUUCUUUGAGACGAAGUCUAACUCUGUCACCCAGGCUGCAGUGCAGUGGCUUGAUCUCGGCUCACCGCAACCUCUGCCUGGGUUCAAGUGAUUCUCCUGCCUCAGCCUCCCAAGUAGCUGGGACUACAGGCAUGUGCCACCACACCCAGCUAAUUUUUGUAUUUUUAGUAGCAAUGGGGUUUUACCAUAUUGGCCAGGAUGAUCUUGAUCUCCUGACCUCAUUCGUGAUGCACCCACCUCAUUCUCCCAAAGUUUGGGGAUUACAGAUGUGAGCCAUCCUGCCCACCUGAAUAGCUUAUUUGACAGCAUGAUAUUCAGUGUCUUCACAUUUGCUUCGGGAGCCGGCCUUUUUUGCUAGGCACCUGAAUUUCUUGUCUUUCUUUUUGAGACAGGGUCUUAUUCUGUAUCCCAGGCUGUAGUACAAUGGUAUGAUCUCAGCUCACUGCAACCUCCACCUCCCAGGCUGAUGCAUUCCUCCCGCCUCUGCCUCUGGAGUAGCUGGAACUACAGGCGUGCACCACCAAGCUAAUGUUUUUAUUUUUUGUGGAGAUGAAAUCUGUUUCCCAGGCUGGUCUUGAACUCAUGGCUUCAAGUGAUCCACCUGCCUCGGCCUCCCAGCGUGCCGGGAGAUGAUAGACGUAAGCUGCCAGACUGGGGCCUGGGCACCUGCUUUUCUCACCCACAGCUCAGCUGGUUCUCGUUCCUUUUACUGCUUCGAUACUUUCAUAUUUGCUGGCUUAGUUGUUUAUAAUCCCUUCUUUUAAAGAAGUUUUUAUAGUUGAAGUGAAAUACACAUGACAUGAAAUUAACCAUUUUAUAGUGAAUGAUGUGGCAUUUCGUACAUUCACCAUGUUGUGCAGCUACCGAUUCUAUUUUGCCCCAAAACAUUUUCAUUGUCUCAAAGGAAACCCUGAACCCAUUAGGAUACACCUCCCCAUCCAGCCCCUUCCUGCUUUCAGUGGUUAUGGAUUUACGUAUUUUGGGAUUUAACAUGAAUGAAAUCAAGCAAUGUGUGAUUUGUUGUGUCUGGCCUCUUUCACUUAGCAUAGGACUUUCAAGUUUUGUUCAUGAUGUAGCACACAUCAUUAUUUUUUAUGGCUAAGUAAUAUACAUAUAUUUUGCGACAGAGUCUCGCUCUGUCACCCAGGCAGGAGUACAGUGGUGCAACCUCAGCUCACUGCAACCCCUGCCUCCCAGGUUCAAGCAAUUCUCCUGCCUCAGCCUCCCCAGUAGCUGGGACUAUAGGCAUGCACCACCACACCUGACUAAUUUUUAUAUUUUUAAUAGAGACGGAGUUUCCCCAUGUUGGCUAGCUGGUCUUGAACCCCCAACCUUGUGAUCUGCCCACCUCGGCCUCCCAAAGGAGGCCUGGAAUGACAGGCAUGAGCCCCCGUGCCUGGCUGCUAAAUGAGACUUCAUUGUAUGUAUAAACUAUGAUUUGUUCAUCUCUUGAGCUGCUGACGGACGUUUGGAUUGUGUCUCUCUUUUGCCUCCUAUGAAUAGCGCUGCUGUGAACGUGUGUGCACAUGUUUUUCUUGAGUAUUUGUUUUUUAUUCUUUUGAGUAUAGACUUGGAAAUGGAAUUGCUGGAUCAAACGGUGAUUCUGAUGAACUUUGUGAGAACCACCAAAGGCAUUUCUGAGGACAUGGAACCAUUUUACGUUCGCGCCAGUCCAUUGCCCUCCUACCAUCUCUUGCCAAAAUGUGCUUCUCCCAUACGUUAAAACUCUGCUUAAAAACUGUUUCAGUGCUAGGUGCAGUGGCUAAUACCCAUAAUCCUAGCACUUUGGGAGACUGGGGCAGGAAGAUAGCUUGAAGCCAGGAGUUUGAGACCAGCCUGAGCAACAAAAUGAGACUGGCCUCUACAAAACAUUUUUUUAGAAAAAUUAGCCAGAUGUGCUCACAUGUGCCUGUAGUCCCAGCUACUUGGGAGGCUGAGGUGGGAGGAUCACUUGUUCCCAGGGAGUUGGAGGUUGCAGUGAGCUAUGAUUAUACCAGGCACUCCAGCCUGGGCAACAGAGCAAAUCUGACCUUAAAACAAAAACAAUGAAAAAUCCCUAUUUCAUUUCACACUAGUCUGAUUAGAUCUUCAGCUCUUAAGUGUGUAGUGAGGGAAAUUAAGACUUUUGAGAUGGCCAGGUGUGGUGGCUCAUGCCUGUAAUCCCCGUACUUUGGGAGGCUGAGGCAGGCGGAUCACCUGAGGUCAGGAGAUUGAGACCAGCCUCGCCAACAUGGUGAAACCCCAUCUCUAUUAAAAAACUACAAAAAUUGGGAACAGGCGUGGUGGCUCACAUCUGUAAUCCCAGCACUGUGGGAGGCAGAGGUGGACAGAUCACAAGGUCAAGAGAUCGAGACCGUCCUGGCCAACGUGGUGAAACUCUGUCUCUACUAAAAGUACAAAAAAUUAACCGGGCAUGGUGGUGCGUACCUGUUGUCCCAGCUACUCAGGAGGCUGAGGCAGGAGAAUUGCUUGAAACCAGAAAAUGGAAGUUGCAGUGAGCUGGGAUUGCGCCACUGCACUCUAGCCUGGCGAUAGAGCGAGACUCUGUCUCAAAAAAAAAAGCUUUUGAGAUAAGAGACCCAGGUUUGAAGCCGCACUCUGCCAUUUAUGAUUCAGUGAUUUGACUACGUACCCUUCAGGGACUGACUUAUCUUUAUGAGUCUGUUUGCUGAUCUGUCGAGUGGGGUUGAUGGUAAUAGGAUAGAAGAUUGUGUUGUGAGUGUUAAAAGGGUAGGAUAGUGCCGGGCAGGGUGGCUCACGCCUGUCAUCCCAGCACUGUCAGAGGCCGAGGCGGGCAGAUCACCGGAGGCCAGGAGUUUGAGAUCAGCCUGGCCAAUACGGUAAAACCCUAUCUCUAGUAAAAAUAUGUAAAGUAGUCCAUUGGGUGGUGGGCAUCUGUAAUCCCAGCUACUCGGGAGGCUGAGGCGGAAGAAGCACUUGAACCCAGGAGGCGGAGGUUACAGUGAGCUGAGAUUGUGCCACUGCACUCCAGCCUGGGCAACAGAGUGAGACUGUGUCUCAAAAAAAAAGGUUGUAUAUAUGAAGCAGUUUAAUGUGGUGGCUGACACAAAGUGCCCCAGCAGUAAUAAAUUAAUUGCACUCUUGUUGUAUCUUUGAAGUUGUUCUUUUCUCUAGUCAUGUUUGUCUUUCGUUCCACUACAUUUUUUUUUUUUUUUGAGAUGGAGUUUCGCUCCUGUUGCCCAGGCUGGAGUACAGGGGUGCAAUUUCAGCUCACCGCAACCUCAGCCUCCUGGGUAGCUGGGAUUACAGGUAUGCGCCACCAGGCCCAGCUAAUUUUGUAUUUUUAGUAGACGCGCGGGGUUUCUUCACGUUGGUCAAGCUAGUCUUGAACUCCCGACCUCAGGUGAUCUGCCUGCCUUGGCCUCCCAAAGUGCUGGGAUUACAGGCGUGAGCCACCUUGCCUAGCCAAAAGAGACUCUUAUAAAGUAUUGACACACAUGGUUAUAGAAGCUGAGAAACCUCAAGAGCUUCAGUUGGCAAGCUGGAGACCCAGGAAAACGGAUGGUGUGAGUUCCCGCCAAGUCUGAAGGCAGAAGAAGACAAUGUCCCAGCUGGAAGACAGUCAGGCAGAGAGAAUUCUCCUGUACUCCGCAGCUUUUUCUAUUUAGACUUCAGUGGGUUGGGUGAGGCCCACCCACACUGGGGAGAGCAGUCUGCUUUAUACUCUAAGUCUGCUGAUUCAAAUGCUGAUCUCAGCUGGUUGUGGUAGCUCAUGCCUGUAAUCCCAACACGGUCUUGGAGGCCAAGGUGGACGAAUCACCUGAGAUCAGGGGUUCAAGACCAGCCUGGCCAACAUGGCGAAACCUUGUCUCUGCUAAAAAUACAAAAAUUAGCCAGGCAUGGUGGUGGGUACUUGUAAUCCCAGCUACUCAGGAGGCUGAGGCGGGAGACUCGCUUGAGCCCAGGAGGUGGAGGUUGCAGUUAGCCGAGAUGGCGCCACUGCACUCCAGCCUGGGCAACAGAGUGAGACUCUGUCUCAAAAAGAAAAAAUGUUGAUCUCACCCAGAAACUCAGUCACAGACACACUCAGAACCAUGUUUAGUCAAAUAUCAGGGCUUCCUCUAGCUCAGUCAUGUUGACACAUAAGAUUAAGCAUCGCGAGACAGAUCUAUCCAAGAUGGCCGACCACUAACAGCUCAGGAUUGUAGCUCCCAGUGAAAGCUCAGAGAACGAGACGACGCCACAUCAUUAGACGAAUUUUCGUCACUCACCGAUUAGCCGACUCCCAGUGGAGGAGCCCCACGGGUCGCCAGCGCGACUCUUGUGGCCGCUGCAGUGGUUUUGCCGGCGUCUCGGUGCAGCAGCUCUUCACGCAGAGCCAACGGGACCGCUUCCCCUACUGACCAGAGUUUGGAGCUCCGGGAAGUCAGAGCCGCUUGUUGCGGACUCAAGAGGGAAGCCAGACCAGAGAUUCCCGGGCAGAAGAGCACCAUCAGUCUUACUGCUGCUAUUUAGGCUGCCACAGUGGGUGGCUCGGAUCCCAGCACUGGGAAUCAAUAAGUCGGACGUCGACUCAGAAAACUAAUUAGAAAGGCGGGUCAUCCACAAUGAAGGGAAAAAAACAGCCUAAGAAGGCCGAGUAUACUCAAAAUCAGAACCCAUCAGCAACGGAACAAGCCCUGAUGGAAAAGGACUCAUCAGCAACCGAACAAGCCCUGAUGGAAAAGGACUCAUCAGUAACAGAACAAGCCCUGAUGGAAAAGGACUGUGUUCCAUUAUCUGAAGUAGGCUUUAAAAGGUGGAUGAUAAGAAACUUCUGGGAGUUAAAGGAACUUGUUCUAACCCAAUGUAAAGAAACUAAGAACUUGGAAAAAAGGUUCGAUGAAAUGUUGAAAAGAAUAGACAAUAUAGAGAGGAAUACAAAUGAACUUAUGGAGUUGAAAAAUACAACACGAGAACUUAGUGAAAUAUGUACAAGCUUAAACAGCCGAAUGGAUCAAGCAGAAGAAAGGGUAUUAGAGGUCGAAGACCAACUUAAUGAAACAAAACGACAAGACAAGAAUAGAGAAAAAAGGAUAAAAAGGAAUGAGCAAAGUCUCCAAGAAAUAUGGGACUACGUGAAAAGACCUAAUAUACGCUUGAUUGGUGUACCUGAAUGUGACGGAGAGAAUGAAGUCAAGCUGGAAAAUACUCUCCAGGACAUUAUCCAGGAAAAUUUUCCUAAUUUAGCAAAGCAGGACACUAUUCAACCCCAGGCAAUACAGAGAACACCACAAAGAUAUUCCUCAAGAAGACCAACCCCAAGGCACAUAAUCGUUAGAUUCACCAAGAUCGAAACGAAGGAGAAAAUAUUAAGGGCAGCCAGAGAGAAAGAUCAAGUUACCCAUAAAGGUAAGCCUAUUAGGCUUACAGCAGAUCUCUCAACGGAAACCCUACAAGCUAGAAGAGAGUGGGGGCCAAUAUUCAAUAUACUUAAUCAACAGAACUUUCAGCCCAGAAUUUCAUAUCCUGCCAAUUUAAGCUUUACAUUUGAAGGAAAAAUAAAAUCUUUUAGGAACAAGCAAGUACUCAGAGAUUUUAUUACCACCAGGCCUGCUUUACAAGAACUUCUAAAAGAAGCAUUAUACACAGAAAGGAACAACCAGUAUGAUCCUUUCUAAAAAUACACCAAAAAGUAAAGAGCGUUAACAUAAAGAAGAAUUUUUAUCAACAAAAAGACAAAAUAGCCAGUUAAUAUCAAAUGGCAGCAACCCUAAAGUUAAAUCAACCAAAUCUCCCAAUCAAAAGAUACAGACAAAAUCCAACGGUAUAUUCAAAGAUAUACAUAGACUCAAAAUAAAGGGUUGGAAAAAAAAAAAACGUACCAACCAAAUGGAGAGCAAAAAUAAAUAAAUAAAAAGCAGGAGUUGCAAUUUUCACAUUUGACAAAAUAGAUUUCAAAGCUAUAAGGAUACAAGGGUAAAAGGAUUAAUGUAACAAUAAGAGAUCUUAACACGCAGAUACAUAAGACACAUAGAUUUAGAUUCAACGAGACAACAAAUUGAUAACGAUAUCCAGGAUUUGAACUCAGAGCCAGAACAAAUAAACACAAUAGAGGUCUCCAUUUUAAAGACAUAAAAUAUGCAUUAACCACUUUAAAUACUCAAAAUAUUGAUCGGCCAUUAUUGAAACCCAUUUUAGGAAUGAAGUAAUAUUCCUUUUUCCCUCUUUUUCUUUUUUUCCCCUUCUUUUUCUCUUUUUCCCAAAAAAAAAAAAAAAAGAUUUGAUAGGCAGAUAGUCAUCUGAAGCAUUCCAAGAUUCUAUAUUGUACACCUAAAUAAAAAAAAAAAAAAAAAAAAGAUUAAGCAUCGCAGGCUGGCGUUUCCCCCCCUACACUCUCUGUCUCUGUCUCUGUCUCUCUGUAUCUGUAUCUGUCUCUCUCUCUGUCUCUGUCUCUGUACCUGUCUCUGUCUCUCUGUGUCUCUGUCUCUCUCGGUCUCUGUCUGUCUCUCUGUCUCUCUCUUUCUCUCUGUCUCUCUGUCUCUGUCUCUGUCUCUCUCUCUCUCUCUCCUUGUCUUUGAAUGAACUGUGGAGCAUCCUGGCUGCUGAGCACUUGACAGCUUGGGAAAGGCAGGCCGUGGCGAGGACUCCCCACUGUCCCUGCUUCUUGCAUUUGUGUCUUCAAGUUUCUUCCUCAUCCUGUUUUAGGACCACAGCCCUCGACUUUUUUAUUUUUAUUUUUGCCACAGCACACAUGGUGUAUGAAAUUCCAUGCAUGACACACUUCUGUGGGCUUGUCCAAAUUUUGAUAAUUCCUCCCCCAAUCCCUCACCCCCAAGUUUCCCAGGAAAUAAAGCAGAUAGCGCCGUAGACGCUGCAUGAUAUGUUCACAAAAGCGUUUUACAAGCUUGGGAGCAGCUAAUAAGUGUUCAUCAGUAACAGAGUGCAGCUGGAUCCGGGCUGGAUAAAACAUGUCACUUCCAAUUAGCGUCACAUCAGCGUUCUCCAUUCAGGGAAACUUACUGGGAGCAAAUGCAGCCCAGCGCAGUGGCUCACACCUGUAAUCCCAGCACUUUGGGAGGCCGAGGCGGGUGGAUCACGUGAGGUCAGGAGUUUGAGACCAGCUUGGUCAACCUGGUGAAACCCCAUCUCUACUAAAAAUACAAAAGUUAGCUGGGUGUGGUGGCAGGUACCUGUGAUCCCAGCUACUUGGGAGGCUGAGGCGGGAGAAUCACUUGAAUGCAGGAGGCACAGGUUGCAUUGAACAGAGAUCCCGCCACUGCACUCCAGCCUAGUCAACAGAGGGAGACUCCAUCUCAAAACAAAACAAAACAAAAAAAAGCAGAUGCAUAUGCUGUGACUGACCAUUGGAAAACAGAGCAUAUACUAACUGCACUCUGAGUGAUAUUGGUAAUUGAUUGACCUCAGCACUGAGGCGAUCACGUAGACCGGUGUCUAAACCAGAGCUGUGGGAUGCCUGGGAGGUCCUAUGUGUGCCCUUUUAGUUCUUGGUGGCUGCAAAUGUGGCUUCAGCUUAGAGCUGUGCAGACUACCAUGCUUAAAAUAAAAGCAAAUGGCUCCGGAAGUGUGAGAGAUUCCAAACCAUUUGCUCAGGAAGGAAGGCGGGUGGGGUGGGGAUGGCGGGGAUGAGAUUUGUUUCCCAGACACAGUUUCUCUGUUGCACGGGCUUGACUUGGUUCAGCAGCAUCAUCUGCACCUGCCAUCCAGGCUCAAGCCAUGUCCCCACCCGGCCUCUCAGGUAGCUGGGACUACAGGCAUGCGUCAACACACCUGGCUAAUUAUUUGCGUUUUUUGGUAGAGACCAGGUCUCACUGUAUUGUCCAGGCUGGUCUCAAACUCCUGGACUCAAGCAGUCCUCCCUCCUUGGCCUCCCAAAGUUCUGGGAUUACAGGCAUGAGCCACUGAAUUCAGCCAGGAUUUUUCAUUCCACGUGGCCCCCACGUCCCCUGAUGAUUUGUUAGGCCUCCUCACUCAGAUGGUGUAGUAACAGUGAGACUGUUCAGGCCUUCUCGGAAACCCGAGUCCCGCAGCAAAUCCAAGGUGCUUUCCCCGCUAGUGACACACACAGAGCCAGAGCUUUGCUGGGUAACUUUCCCUUUCUCCUGUAAUCCACUGCCUGUCUUUCCGUGCUGGAGAAUUGGGGUCUGAGAGUGAUCGGGAGCCAGACAGAAGCCGGGGUAGUCCCAGGGGUGGCCUGCUGUGUGGUUUCACGGCACUGCUGAUGUUCCAAGCCAGGUGAUUCUUUGCGGUGGGAGGAGCUGUGCUGCGUGUGGUAGAUUGUCACCAGCAUCCUGCUCCGUGUCAGUAACACUCCACUCCCAGAGGCCCGGAGGGAGGACUGUCCAUGGAAUAUGGACGAGUAGAGGGAGUGAAAGAGCAGAGCAAUGAGGAGCUGUUCCCGACGGAUCACACCCCUUCCCUUUUCACUCGCUGCUCUGGGUGACUUAUGGAACUGGGUUCUGUCACCAGGCAUCUUUCCCUUGCUGGGAGGGCUCCCCAAGUGUUUUCACUGAAACCUACAUGUGCCAGUGAUUCUUACAGUAUCUUUCUGAAGUAUUAAGUCUAAAUGCUGUAGAAAUAAUACUCAGAGUAUGUGGAUGUGAACAGGGACACGGGAGCUUUUGCCAAAAGGUCUGGAGGAAAUGGUCCUGUUUGCAGCUCAGAAAUGUGAGAGAGCUUCCGUCAUCAUCUGCAUAGGUUCCUGUCCCUGUUGAUGGGCACAGACACAUCAGGCAGCCCCCUGGAACCUAAAGCUGCUUCCAGAGCUCCCUGAUCAGAGCGCGAGCUGGCGCCUGGUAAGGCAGAAGCUGUGGCUCUCAGUGGUGUCAGGAGCUGCUGGAGCAGCCUCUUCAGGCGUUCUGGCCUUCGAUGUGACCCAGGGUGCAUGGGGCUCCCUGCCAUUUACAGAGAAACAGAUCUGUGCUGGGAAGUUAACAAACAGGAGACAGGAUGUGAGAUGAGGAAGGACUGUCUGUUCAUUGGGGUUCACCCUCGUCUUGAGGUUCAUUGGUGUGGAGGGUCGGACUUAAGAAAAGCAGGAGACUUGUGGAGAAUCCACCCCAGCCCAGCCUUGCAUCUGCAGUGAUAGGAGGCCUGGGAGACCUUUCCCAGGAGACCUUUCCCCCCGGGCGCUGGGCAGCUCCAGCAACUCAGCCUCCAUGUUUUCCGUGCCAUUCCCUGGCCACAGUGAUUUCUGAGUCCUUUCUGUGCAUCCUGAACUUUUUCCUUUCUCUGCUCAUUUUCUCCUCCUGCAGACCCAGGGUGGAUGGCGGAUGCGGCCCAGGUCUGCGCCAUCACUGGUGUGGCCAUGAUGCAGGAAAGGUGGUUUUUGCACCUAGUGAGAGCCCAGGAGGAGCUCCUUCCCCCUGCAGGCUGGAUGACAGUUCCAGGGAGAUGAGGUCAGGGAGAUUUUCUGGUGAUUCUUGUCAGAGUCAGGUGAACAUUGCUGGGAAGGGUGGGUCGGAUAGAGGGCAUCACACGUGCCGAGGUCGGAGGAGAGGUGAAUUCCAGGGGUAGUUUCCAGGGAGGUGGCCUCAGGGAUGGACGGAGGUGGGUCUGGAGCAGUUGCAGGUGUCCAGCCAGGAGAUGAAGCAUUAGAAGCUGCACAGUCGCUACUGGAGGGCAGCACAUGUCCCCACGGUGUCCCCGGAACAGGUUACAUUUCUGUCACCCUGCAGGUCAUUAAUGAGAGCAAGGCAGAACCACACACGACCCCACUUCCAUUUCAACAGCUUCUGCACGCCCUUGUGGCAGAGCUUAUUUUGGGAGCUGGGCAAGCCCUAUUCUGAGCAUAACCUCAAGGGACUGGAAAGAAUUCCCUGGAGAACCUGGAGAACUAACUGACAAAGCUGGCAUCUGUCUUCUUCCCUGGGAAAUGUUUCCACUCACAUGUUCCGACUCCAGCCCGACGCAGGCACCAGCUGAGGGUUUGCAGUAUUUGAAUGUUGGCCCUGCCCUGACCCAUGCGCAAACCAUUUGUUUCACUAAGAAUAUGGAUUUUCAGAUAGCAAACCGAUGAGUUUACAUCCAGAAGCUGGAUUGCUGAUUCAGUUGAAAAGCCUUAGCCUGACAGGGUUAGGCCGAAACUGAACAGCGUCAGAGGCUGCGGGACCUUUUGUUUCAUUAUAAAAGCAGAACUCCACGCACGUACUUAAAAAAUUCACGUGGCACUGAAGGAUAUGACAGAGGUAUAACCCCUCAGCUAUAAUCGCUCUUAAGUUUCAUUUAUGUAUUUAUUGAGACAGGGUCUCUGCUGCCUGGGCUGGAGUGCAGUGGUGCAAUCUCAGCUCCCUGCAACCUCUGCCUCUUGGGUCCAAGGGUUCUCCUGCCUGAGCCUCCUGAGUUGCUGGGACUACAGGUGCCCUCCACCAACUUUUGUAAUUUUUGUAGAGACGGCGUUUCACCAUGUUGGCCAGGCUGAUCUUGAACUCCUGACCACAGGUGAGCUUCCUGCCUUGGCCUCUAAGUGCUGGGAUUACAGGCGUGAGCCACCGUGCCCAGCCUUAAGUUUAUCAUAUACAUCCUUCUGAAGUAUCCUGUAUGGAUACGUGUAUGUGAUAGGUAUUCUCUGUCCUCUUAACAAAAGAAACCUUUGAUUUAAAAAGAAGCUAACAUCUUGUCAACCUUUUCCUGUUGGCAUAGGCUGAUCUGCUUUAGUCAUAAUAACAGAAUUGUAUUCUAUUUAAUGUCUAGAGCAUAAUUUACUUGCCCACUGCUCGAUACAUGGGUAUUUCACCCCUUCCUUUACCUUUGGCUGUUAUAAAUAACUCUAUGAUGAACGUGGUUGUGAUACAGCUUUGCACACUUCACGCAUGCGUAUCUGUGAAUUGGAAUCAACCAAAGAAGACAUACCUUAUUAACUUUGAUAGACGUUGCCAGGGUCCUUCUUGGAGGACAGAGAAUGUCGUUGCUUUAUAGAAAAUGUGUGACUCGGCCGGGCGCAUGGCUCACGCCUGUAACCCCAGCACUUUGGGAGGCCGAGGCGUGUGGAUCACCUGAGGUUGGGAGUUUGAGACCAGCCUGACCAACAUGGAGAAAUCCCAUCUCUACUAAAAAUACAAAAUUAGCCAGGCGUGGUGGUGCAUGCCUAUAAUCCCAGCUACUCAGGAGGCUGAGGCAGGAGAAUCACUUGAACCUGGGAGGCAGAGAUUACGGUGAGCUGAGAUCAGGCCACUGUACUCCAGCCUGGGCAACAAGAGCGAAUCUCCCUCUCAAAAAAAAAAAAAAGAAAAUGUAUUAACUCCAGCUUUUGACAGCCAGCCUAAAAUACCAAUAGUUUCCCUUGCCCAGAAAAUGCUGCUCUUGAUACAGAGAAUGUCAGCUGUGUGUUGCUGCUGGAAGGCAGCACAGGGAGAGGAGACAGGUAAGACGUUGGGCAGGAAAGACGGCUUCUGGGAAUGGUGCUUUCCUCCUGGACUCAAUACAUGUAGACAAGACAAUCUGUUUAGUCCCAUCUCCUGAUUUUACAUAAAACCAGGUUUCGUUCCAGCUCUGAGAUCCGGAGCCUGACUGCCAGGGCAGACUGAAGCAGGAGGUAAAAUGCCAGAAUCCAUCCUUUAAUUUCUAGAUUCUUUAUUUUUUCUAUUUGUUUAUUUAUUUUGUAUUUUUUCAGUCAGAGUCUUGCUCUGUCACCCAGUCUGGAGUGCCGUGGCACGAUCUCAGCUCACUGCAACCUCGUCCUCCCUGGUUUAAGUGAUUCUCCUGCCUUAGCCUCCUGAGUAGCUGGGAUUAUAGGUGCCCAUCACCACGCCCGGCUAAUUUUUGUAUUUUCAGUAGAGACAGCAUUUCACAAUGUUGGCUAGGCAGGUCUCAAACUCCUGACCUCAGGAGUUUAGUAGAGACGGUGAUCUGUCUGCUUCGGCCUCCCAAAGUGCUGGGAUGACAGGUGUGAGCCACCACGCCUGGCCGGUUCUUUAUGUUUCCAUCAGCACUAUAUGAGAGAGAAGGCCUAGGGGUACCUGGCCCUUCCCUGGGCAGCAGAUGGACCAAACACCUCCUGGGUUGCCUCUGUUAUCAAGAGAUUCGCAGCAGCAUCCUUAACUGUGCUGUCUCCUCUGCCCCGUGGAUGGCAAACACGUUUCUUCACGAGGUCCCUUAAUUAGAAGAGCCUGAGUGAGUGUUGGGGUGUUACAGUUUCUGUUAUAAUCGGGUUGGAAAGGAUCUCGUUGUGGAAGUCAGGUCAAAAGUUGUCUUACAUGUUAGAGCAGAGAAUGAUCUGGAGAGGGAGGGAAAUGCAAGGCAGGUUCCUCCAAAGCCUCAGGUGCCUCAUGGGAGAAACAGCCUGUACUACCAAGGCAGCCAUGCGAAUGGGCAGAGCCCUCUCUGUGUCUCGGUUCUGUUUCUUUGCCUACAGCCCACCCUCCUGACCUGAUACCAUUGUGCUUGGGGUCUUAUCCCAUGGGACACAGAACUGGGGAACAUGGAUAGGUCUAAGCUAGCACUCACCACACUUGGGCACAUUUAAGAAUCAACACUUUGAACAACCAUGGUUUUGAUUCCCUGAGAAGGAAAAGGAUUAAGACUUACUCUCCCUACACCCAACUUUUUAUAUUGGGAAAUGUCAGACCUACAGAAAAGUGGAAGACAAGUACAAUGAAUGUCCAUCCUGUACCCGCCCCCUCAGCUGAGCAAUGGUGAACAUGUCACAGUGACUGUCAUGUACCCGCCCCCUCAGCUGAGCAAUGGUGAACAUGUCACAGUGACUGUCAUGUACCUGCCCCCUCAGCUGAGCAGUGGUGAACAUGUCACAGUGAAUUCCAAGCUUGUGCCUGCCUCCUCAGCUGAGCAAUGGUGACGAUGUCACAGUGACUGUCUAUCCUGUACCUGCCCCCUCAGCUGAGCAGUGGUGACUAUCGUGUACCCACCCCCUCAGCUGAGCUAUGGUGACCGACCAUGUUGCCACAUUCAGUUCCCAGCUAUUGCUGCUGCUGAUCUGGGAACACACUGUGUGAACCUUUUGUAAGCCUCUACCUGUGUGUGAGGAGUGGAUAUAUUUUUUCCCUGAACGACAGUUGACCCCUGAAUGACA